This 434-nucleotide ribosomal RNA is filed under the name uncultured bacterium. Its description in RNAcentral is "partial 16S ribosomal RNA". It matches the Rfam family "Bacterial small subunit ribosomal RNA", at positions 29 to 507 of the family's 1533-position model. The record is from RNAcentral.
AGCGAACGCUGGCGGCAGGCCUAACACAUGCAAGUCGAACGAACCUUUCGGGGUUAGUGGCGGUGGGGGGAGUAACACGUGGGAACGUGCCCUUAGGUUCGGAACAACUCAGGGAAACUUGUGCUAAUACCCAAUGUGCCCUUCGGGGGAAAGAUUAAUCGCCUUUAGAGCGGCCCGCGUCUGAUUAGCUAGUUGGUUGAGGUAAUGGCUCACCAAGGCGACGAUCAGUAGCUGGGCUGAGAGGAUGCUCAGCCACAUUGGGACUGAGACACGGCCCAAACUCCUACGGGAGGCAGCAGUGGGGAAUCUUGCGCAAUGAGCGAAAGCCUGACGCAGCCAUGCCGCGUGAAUGAUGAAGGUCUUAGGAUUGUAAAAUUCUUUCACCGGGGACGAUAAUGACGGUACCCGGAGAAGAAGCCCCGGCUAACUUCGUG